UGUCGUAGGAGACCUCGUCUACCACACGUCACGUGCGCACUACGCAUCCCUGAAUAUUCUAAGUUGAAAGACGUUUCUCUCAAGUUUAUGGUCUCAGUCCCAAAUCUGUGGCCUUACUCUUCAACUCUUCAAAAAUGCUUACUGGUCUCGCUGCCCAGCGUCUUCAUGAUAUCCGUCAAGCUUUUCGUAUCUCUCUUCAGGGAUCUCGAUCCUUGUCCACUGCUUUGAACUACGUGGAUUUCGAAUUAUAAUUUAACUGGUUAUAUCGAAAUCGUUUACCUCUCUCUUUUUAUUGAUUUUUUAAUUUUUGCUGAAGCACCUUGAUUCUCCUGAUAACAAUCCGGACCUUCCAUGGGAGUUCUCUGAUGCUAACAAAGAAAAGGUUAAGGAGAUAUUAUCUCACUAUCCAUCCAAUUCCAAGCAAUCUGCAGUUAUUCCUCUGCUAGAUCUUGCACAGCGGCAGCAUGGAGGGUGGCUUCCUGUUUCUGCUAUGAAUGUGGUAUGUUGGGCAGAAACGAAUGGUAGUCUGAGGACUUAUUUUAUGUGAGUGUGGCUAAGGUCAUAGAAGUUGCUCCUAUCCGUGUGUACGAGGUUGUGACAUUUUAUUCAAUGUUCAACAGAACAAAGGUGAGAAAGAAUACUUAUUUUUUACAUUUCGUUGCCAUUUUAUCAACCAUAUCAGUGUAGAAAAUUGCAGUUGGCCUCCAUGGAUAUUUUAUAUGGGUUUUCAGGUGGGCAAGUACCAUUUAUUGGUUUGCGGUACCACACCUUGUACGAUACGUGGUUCACGGGAAAUUGAAGAUGCAUUACUGAAACACUUAGGAGUUUGUUGCAAACCUGUAUGAAUGGCCAGAUAUCCGGCUAGCUGUAGGUUCCAGCAAAUCUCAACAGCUCCUCCAGCAGGCUCCAGACACAGCCUCCUUCCUACAGAUUCAGUAUUCCAGUUUCCUGCCUACCGCAACACAUUCAUCAACCUCCUGGGAUUCACUUAUGGCAACAAGAAAUAAGAAUAGUCACAGUUCAUAAUCAAUCUAGUGAAUUCUCUAGUGAUUAUGAAGGCAGGAAACCUCAACUGAUUUCAGCUGCUCUAGUGAAUUCUCCAUUCUGUCCUCACCCAUUUGGUUUUUCUUUUUGCUCUCAGUUGGGCCAACAUCCUCACCUCCUGGACUGUCUUCUAGAUUCUUCCCUUUGGGCCUGCGAUUUUUAAUUAGAUUCCCAUCAGAGUUAAGCGCAAUGGUGGGUUUAUACAUCGUACUUUUGAUGCUUUUCAUCUCACCUCAUGCUAAACCCAUGUGGAUCUAAAACUGCUAGUGCAAAGAGUGAGCAAGUUUUAUUUGUGAUGUGCAGAAGUAACAAAAGAUGGUUUGUUUUCUGUUGGAGAAAUGGAGUGCAUGUGAAGUUGUGUAAAUGCUCCUAUGAUUACAGUGGCUGAUUACUCCAAUGGAUCAGAAGGAUAUACUUACAAUUAUUACGCCAGUCUAAUUAUCAUUCCUUUGAUCUUUCCAAGUUUUGUGUAUUUAUGCACAAGUGAUCAAAAGUCUUGGAAUGCAGGAAGAUGUCACCUCAAAACGAGUUGUGGAGAUAGUUGAGAUAUUAAGAAGGGGGUAGAAGGCAGCGGCUGGCACUCAAAAUCCAAAUCGCAUUAAGUGUGGACCAGAAGGAGGAAACACUACUUUGCUAAGUGAACCAAAACCUCCUCCAUGCCGGGAUCUUGAUGCCUGCUAAAGUUGGAUAGUUGCAUCUCCAAUAAUGCAAUGCACAGAAUUGUCAGGCUUUGCCAGGUUGUAUGCUCUUUGAAUUUGUUCAGCUCAACCAUUUUUUUUAUAGCUGCCAGUUUGAUUUCUGGUGGAUAUUCUGCCAGGUUGUAUGCUCUUUGAAUUUGUUCAGCUCAACCAUUUUUUUAUAGCUGCCAGUUUGAUUUCUGGUGGAUGUUCUGUUUUAUACGACUCCAAUCUUAUUUCAAGUUAUGGGAUGACUCAUUUACUUUAAA
RNA transcript from Mangifera indica (mango), 1990 nucleotides. It is a transcript of the gene named NADH dehydrogenase [ubiquinone] flavoprotein 2, mitochondrial-like, with no coding region annotated. The transcript is spliced from 6 exons. NCBI's taxonomy places the organism in Eukaryota, Viridiplantae, Streptophyta, Magnoliopsida, Sapindales, Anacardiaceae. The record is from RefSeq and is a predicted model, not a curated record.